Molecule: ribosomal RNA, 490 nt
Filed under: uncultured bacterium
Lineage: Bacteria
Description: partial 16S ribosomal RNA
Rfam family: Bacterial small subunit ribosomal RNA
Source: RNAcentral
AUUGAACGCUGGCGGCAGGCCUAACACAUGCAAGUCGAACGGUAACAGGAAGAAGCUUGCUUCUUUGCUGACGAGUGGCGGACGGGUGAGUAAUGUCGGGGAAACUGCCUGAUGGCGGGGGAUAACUACUGGAAACGGUAGCUAAUACCGCAUAACGUCGCAAGACCAAAGAGGGGGACCUUCGGGCCUCUUGCCAUCGGCUUUGCCCAGAUGGGAUUAGCUAGUAGGUGGGGUAACGGCUCACCUAGGCGACGAUCCCUAGCUGGUCUGAGAGGAUGACCAGCCACACUGGAACUGAGACACGGUCCAGACUCCUACGGGAGGCAGCAGUGGGGAAUAUUGCACAAUGGGCGCAAGCCUGAUGCAGCCAUGCCGCGUGUAUGAAGAAGGCCUUCGGGUUGUAAAGUACUUUCAGCGGGGAGGAAGGGAGUAAAGUUAAUACCUUUGCUCAUUGACGUUACCCGCAGAAGAAGCACCGGCUAACUCCGUG